AACGAACGCUGGCGGCAGGCUUAACACAUGCAAGUCGAACGCCCCGCAAGGGGAGUGGCAGACGGGUGAGUAACGCGUGGGAAUCUACCCAUCUCUGCGGAAUAGCUCCGGGAAACUGGAAUUAAUACCGCAUACGCCCUACGGGGGAAAGAUUUAUCGGGGAUGGAUGAGCCCGCGUUGGAUUAGCUAGUUGGUGGGGUAAAGGCCUACCAAGGCGACGAUCCAUAGCUGGUCUGAGAGGAUGAUCAGCCACAUUGGGACUGAGACACGGCCCAAACUCCUACGGGAGGCAGCAGUGGGGAAUAUUGGACAAUGGGCGCAAGCCUGAUCCAGCCAUGCCGCGUGAGUGAUGAAGGCCUUAGGGUUGUAAAGCUCUUUCACCGAUGAAGAUAAUGACGGUAGUCGGAGAAGAAGCCCCGGCUAACUUCGUGCCAGCCGCCGCCGUAA
RNAcentral lists this ribosomal RNA (447 nucleotides) under uncultured bacterium. RNAcentral describes it as "partial 16S ribosomal RNA". It matches the Rfam family "Bacterial small subunit ribosomal RNA", at positions 29 to 523 of the family's 1533-position model. The record is from RNAcentral.